This 72-nucleotide transfer RNA is filed under the name Myxococcota bacterium. Its description in RNAcentral is "tRNA-Val". It matches the Rfam family "tRNA". Rfam says of the family: Transfer RNA (tRNA) molecules are approximately 80 nucleotides in length. Their secondary structure includes four short double-helical elements and three loops (D, anti-codon, and T loops). Lineage: Bacteria; Pseudomonadati; Myxococcota. The record is from RNAcentral.
GGGCGCGUAACUCAGCGGAAGAGUGCAAUCCUCACACGGUUGAAGUCGCUGGUUCGAACCCAGUCGCGCCCA